Molecule: ribosomal RNA, 275 nt
Filed under: uncultured Oscillospiraceae bacterium
Lineage: Bacteria; Bacillati; Bacillota; Clostridia; Eubacteriales; Oscillospiraceae
Description: partial 16S ribosomal RNA
Rfam family: Bacterial small subunit ribosomal RNA
Source: RNAcentral
UGGGGAAUAUUGGGCAAUGGGCGAAAGCCUGACCCAGCGACGCCGCGUGAAGGAAGAAGGUCUUUGGAUUGUAAACUUCUGUUAUGGGGGACGAACACAUGACGGUACCCCAUGAGAAAGCCACGGCUAACUACGUGCCAGCAGCCGCGGUAAUACGUAGGUGGCGAGCGUUAUCCGGAUUUACUGGGUGUAAAGGGUGUGUAGGCGGGACUGCAAGUCAGAUGUGAAAACUAUGGGCUCAACUCAUAGCUUGCAUUUGAAACUGUGGUUCUUGA